Molecule: ribosomal RNA, 887 nt
Filed under: Streptomyces sp. ERI MA-01
Lineage: Bacteria; Bacillati; Actinomycetota; Actinomycetes; Kitasatosporales; Streptomycetaceae
Also listed under: 1 other name
Description: bacterial SSU rRNA
Rfam family: Bacterial small subunit ribosomal RNA
Source: RNAcentral
UUUGUUGGGUUAACGUCGCGACUUAUCGUGCAGUCGACGAUGACCGGUUUCGCCGGGGAUUAGUGGCGAACGGGUGAGUAACACGUGGGCAAUCUGCCUGCACUCUGGGACAAGCCCUGGAAACGGGGUCUAAUACCGGAUACGACCUUCGAGCGCAUGCUUGAGGGUGGAAAGCUCCGGCGGUGCAGGAUGAGCCCGCGGCCUUAUCAGCUUGUUGGUGGGGUGAUGGCCUACCAAGGCGACGACGGGUAGCCGGGCCUGAGAGGCGACCGGCCACACUGGGGACUGAGACACGGCCCAGACUCCUACCGGGAGGCAGCAGUGGGGGAAUAUUGCACAAUGGGGCGAAAGCCUGAUGCAGCGACCGCCGCGUGAAGGGAUGACGGCCCUUCGGGUUGGAAACCUUCUUUCACCAGGGAAGAAGCAGAGUGACGUUCCUGCCAGGAAGAAGCGCCGGUUACUUACGUGCCAGCGGCGGGGGAAAUCCGUAGGGGGCAGGUUUGUCCGGAAUUUUUGGGCGAAAAGAGCUUGUAGGCGGCUUUGUCGUGCCGAAAUGUAAAAGCCCGGGGUUUAACCCCGGGCUCUGUAUUCGUAUACGGGCUGGUCAAUAUUCGGUAGGGAAAUCGGAAUUCCUUGGUGUAGCGGGAAAUGCGCAAUUUCGGGGAAAACCCGGUGGCGAAGGGGGCUUUUGGCCGAUUCUACGCUGAGGAAGCAAAGCUGGGGGCCACAGAUUAGAACCCCUGGUAGCCCACGCGGAAACGGUGGGACAUUGGGUGUGGCCAAUUUCCCAAGUUGUCGUGCAGGAAACUGAAGUAUUAGUGUCCCCGCGAUGGCGAUACCGGCAAGAUAGACUGAACCCUUAAUGUGUAGUUGUGAGGGGCGUUGCU